RNAcentral lists this long non-coding RNA (227 nucleotides) under Mytilus galloprovincialis (Mediterranean mussel). Lineage: Eukaryota; Metazoa; Mollusca; Bivalvia; Mytilida; Mytilidae. The record is from RNAcentral.
AAGAAAGUCGAGUUGCGAGUUACGAAAGUCGAGUUGCGAGUUAAAAAAGUCGAGUUGCGAGUUACGAAAGUCGAGUUGCGAGUUACGAAAGUCGAGUUGCGAGUUACGAAAGUCGAGUUGCGAGUUACAAAAGUCGAGUUGCGAGUUACGAAAGUCGAGUUGCGAGUUACAAAAGUCGAGUUGCGAGUUACGAAAGUCGAGUUGCGAGUUACGAAAGUCGAGUUGCG